The sequence is a transfer RNA, 144 nucleotides long. It matches the Rfam family "tRNA". From Rfam's summary of the family: Transfer RNA (tRNA) molecules are approximately 80 nucleotides in length. Their secondary structure includes four short double-helical elements and three loops (D, anti-codon, and T loops). Further hydrogen bonds mediate the characteristic L-shaped molecular structure. tRNAs have two regions of fundamental functional importance: the anti-codon, which is responsible for specific mRNA codon recognition, and the 3' end, to which the tRNAs corresponding amino acid is attached (by aminoacyl-tRNA synthetases). tRNAs cope with the degeneracy of the genetic code in two manners: having more than one tRNA (with a specific anti-codon) for a particular amino acid; and 'wobble' base-pairing, i.e. permitting non-standard base-pairing at the 3rd anti-codon position. The record is from Rfam.
GGUGACUUGGCCGAGUGGUUAUGGCGCUAGUUUCAGGAUCACUUGAGACCUUCAAUACUAGUUCGAAAGAGCGUGUAAGUUUACAGUAUCUAGGAUUUGACACUAAACUAAUGAAAUAUAGGGGUUCGAGUCCCACAGUCAUCA